GGGGGUAUAGCUCAGUGGUAGAGCAUUUGACUGCAGAUCAAGAGGUCCCCAGUUCAAAUCUGGGUGCCCCGUACA
Molecule: transfer RNA, 75 nt
Filed under: Pleuronectes platessa (European plaice)
Lineage: Eukaryota; Metazoa; Chordata; Actinopteri; Pleuronectiformes; Pleuronectidae
Description: tRNA-Cys
Rfam family: tRNA
About the family: Transfer RNA (tRNA) molecules are approximately 80 nucleotides in length.
Source: RNAcentral